GUAGGUGAACCUGCGGAAGGAUCAUUAGCGAGAUUGCCGCACGCCGCGGGCCCCUGUGGCCUGUGUGCGGGCGCGCAAGAGCCAUCCUUGUGUUAUGUGUGUGUGUGGUGUCGCGUGUGUGCGCACUCUCUUGUGGGCACACGCGCGCACAUCCUUUUUCACCCGUAUCAUUCACGUUUAUUCUAAUCCACUGCUCACACGAGCACAAACAACCGAAAACUGCCAGCAAUGGAUCACUCGGUUCUC
Molecule: unclassified non-coding RNA, 246 nt
Filed under: rhizosphere metagenome
Description: partial ribosomal RNA internal transcribed spacer region
Source: RNAcentral